GGGGAUUUAGCUCAGCGGUAGAGCGCUUGCCUAGCACGCGUAAGGCCCUGGGUUCGGUCCCCAGCUCCA
Molecule: transfer RNA, 69 nt
Filed under: Rattus norvegicus (Norway rat)
Lineage: Eukaryota; Metazoa; Chordata; Mammalia; Rodentia; Muridae
Rfam family: tRNA
About the family: Transfer RNA (tRNA) molecules are approximately 80 nucleotides in length. Their secondary structure includes four short double-helical elements and three loops (D, anti-codon, and T loops).
Source: Rfam by way of RNAcentral